GGUUAAGCGACUAAGCGUACACGGUGGAUGCCCUGGCAGUCAGAGGCGAUGAAGGGCGUGCUAAUCUGCGAUAAGCGCCGGUAAGGUGAUAUGAACCGUUAUAACCGGCGAUACCCGAAUGGGGAAACCCAGUGUGAUUCGUCACACUAUCAUUAACUGAAUCCAUAGGUUAAUGAGGCGAACCGGGGGAACUGAAACAUCUAAGUACCCCGAGGAAAAGAAAUCAACCGAGAUUCCCCCAGUAGCGGCGAGCGAACGGGGAGGAGCCCAGAGCCUGAAUCAGCAUGUGUGUUAGUGGAAGCGUCUGGAAAGGCGCGCGAUACAGGGUGACAGCCCCGUACACAAAAGCGCAUGUGCUGUGAGCUCGAUGAGUAGGGCGGGACACGUGGUAUCCUGUCUGAAUAUGGGGGGACCAUCCUCCAAGGCUAAAUACUCCUGACUGACCGAUAGUGAACCAGUACCGUGAGGGAAAGGCGAAAAGAACCCCGGCGAGGGGAGUGAAAAAGAACCUGAAACCGUGUACGUACAAGCAGUGGGAGCACAGGUUUACCUGUGUGACUGCGUACCUUUUGUAUAAUGGGUCAGCGACUUAUAUUCUGUAGCAAGGUUAACCGUAUAGGGGAGCCGGAGGGAAACCGAGUCUUAACCGGGCGUUAAGUUGCAGGGUAUAGACCCGAAACCCGGUGAUCUAGCCAUGGGCAGGUUGAAGGUUGGGUAACACUAACUGGAGGACCGAACCGACUAAUGUUGAAAAAUUAGCGGAUGACCUGUGGCUGGGGGUGAAAGGCCAAUCAAACCGGGAGAUAGCUGGUUCUCCCCGAAAGCUAUUUAGGUAGCGCCUCGUGAAUUCAUCUCCGGGGGUAGAGCACUGUUUCGGCUAGGGGGCCAUCCCGGCUUACCAACCCGAUGCAAACUGCGAAUACCGGAGAAUGUUAUCACGGGAGACACACGGCGGGUGCUAACGUCCGUCGUGAAGAGGGAAACAACCCAGACCGCCAGCUAAGGUCCCAAAGUCAUGGUUAAGUGGGAAACGAUGUGGGAAGGCCCAGACAGCCAGGAUGUUGGCUUAGAAGCAGCCAUCAUUUAAAGAAAGCGUAAUAGCUCACUGGUCGAGUCGGCCUGCGCGGAAGAUGUAACGGGGCUAAACCAUGCACCGAAGCUGCGGCAGCGAACGUAUCACCCAAGACAACUUUACGGAGUUGACGAUUGACGGAGCGAAGCGACGUCAAAGCGUUCAUUAAAGUCGAGUUGGCUUAGGGAUACGUUCGUUGGGUAGGGGAGCGUUCUGUAAGCCUGUGAAGGUGUGUCGUGAGGCAUGCUGGAGGUAUCAGAAGUGCGAAUGCUGACAUAAGUAACGAUAAAGCGGGUGAAAAGCCCGCUCGCCGGAAGACCAAGGGUUCCUGUCCAACGUUAAUCGGGGCAGGGUGAGUCGACCCCUAAGGCGAGGCCGAAAGGCGUAGUCGAUGGGAAACGGGUUAAUAUUCCCGUACUUGGUGUUACUGCGAAGGGGGGACGGAGAAGGCUAUGUUGGCCGGGCGACGGUUGUCCCGGUUUAAGCGUGUAGGUGUGUGUUCCAGGUAAAUCCGGUUCACUUUAACACUGAGGCGUGACGACGAGGCACUACGGUGCUGAAGCAACAAAUGCCCUGCUUCCAGGAAAAGCCUCUAAGCAUCAGGUAACACGAAAUCGUACCCCAAACCGACACAGGUGGUCAGGUAGAGAAUACCAAGGCGCUUGAGAGAACUCGGGUGAAGGAACUAGGCAAAAUGGUGCCGUAACUUCGGGAGAAGGCACGCUGACACGUAGGUGAAGUGAUUUACUCAUGGAGCUGAAGUCAGUCGAAGAUACCAGCUGGCUGCAACUGUUUAUUAAAAACACAGCACUGUGCAAACACGAAAGUGGACGUAUACGGUGUGACGCCUGCCCGGUGCCGGAAGGUUAAUUGAUGGGGUCAGCGCAAGCGAAGCUCCUGAUCGAAGCCCCGGUAAACGGCGGCCGUAACUAUAACGGUCCUAAGGUAGCGAAAUUCCUUGUCGGGUAAGUUCCGACCUGCACGAAUGGCGUAAUGAUGGCCAGGCUGUCUCCACCCGAGACUCAGUGAAAUUGAACUCGCUGUGAAGAUGCAGUGUACCCGCGGCAAGACGGAAAGACCCCGUGAACCUUUACUAUAGCUUGACACUGAACAUUGAGCCUUGAUGUGUAGGAUAGGUGGGAGGCUUUGAAGUGUGGACGCCAGUCUGCAUGGAGCCGACCUUGAAAUACCACCCUUUAAUGUUUGAUGUUCUAACGUGGACCCGUAAUCCGGGUUGCGGACAGUGUCUGGUGGGUAGUUUGACUGGGGCGGUCUCCUCCUAAAGAGUAACGGAGGAGCACGAAGGUUGGCUAAUCCUGGUCGGACAUCAGGAGGUUAGUGCAAUGGCAUAAGCCAGCUUGACUGCGAGCGUGACGGCGCGAGCAGGUGCGAAAGCAGGUCAUAGUGAUCCGGUGGUUCUGAAUGGAAGGGCCAUCGCUCAACGGAUAAAAGGUACUCCGGGGAUAACAGGCUGAUACCGCCCAAGAGUUCAUAUCGACGGCGGUGUUUGGCACCUCGAUGUCGGCUCAUCACAUCCUGGGGCUGAAGUAGGUCCCAAGGGUAUGGCUGUUCGCCAUUUAAAGUGGUACGCGAGCUGGGUUUAGAACGUCGUGAGACAGUUCGGUCCCUAUCUGCCGUGGGCGCUGGAGAACUGAGGGGGGCUGCUCCUAGUACGAGAGGACCGGAGUGGACGCAUCACUGGUGUUCGGGUUGUCAUGCCAAUGGCACUGCCCGGUAGCUAAAUGCGGAAGAGAUAAGUGCUGAAAGCAUCUAAGCACGAAACUUGCCCCGAGAUGAGUUCUCCCUGAGACUUAGAGUCUCCUGAAGGAACGUUGAAGACGACGACGUUGAUAGGCCGGGUGUGUAAGCGCAGCGAUGCGUUGAGCUAACCGGUACUAAUGAACCGUGAGGCUUAACCUU
This 2992-nucleotide ribosomal RNA is filed under the name Salmonella enterica. RNAcentral describes it as "23S ribosomal RNA". It matches the Rfam family "Bacterial large subunit ribosomal RNA". RNAcentral also lists the same sequence under 2 other names. The record is from RNAcentral. Lineage: Bacteria; Pseudomonadati; Pseudomonadota; Gammaproteobacteria; Enterobacterales; Enterobacteriaceae.